Non-coding RNA from Bactrocera oleae (olive fruit fly), 365 nucleotides. The record is from RefSeq and is a predicted model, not a curated record. Lineage: Eukaryota; Metazoa; Arthropoda; Insecta; Diptera; Tephritidae.
GAAAUAUGUAUAUGUGUGCGCCCAUGUGUUUUCGCGUUCAGUUAAGCAAAACAAGCGGCAAAUAUAACAUGCAAAACCGCCUAAAACUGAUUGUGCGAGCGCAGCAACCACAACAACAAUAACAACGUAGCGAAUGAACAUAGAAAACAUAAAAGAUAAUUGAGAGAGUAACCGCUAUAGUAGCGUGAGUGUAAAUUUACCCAAGAGCGCUAUCAAAGUAACACGAGCGUACUCGUCGAGUGGGUUGUGCCACUGACAGCCAGCAAUAACAGAAACACACGACAACAAAACACCGUAUAUUUUCAAUAGCAGCCUAGCCUCUGACGGCUGUAUUAUUUCGCGUCCUUCAUUUAUUUACGCCAGUG